GAAUUAUCUGAGCAAUCACCUCACAGCCUUUCUGAGGAGUAUUUGGCUUCCAGUUUCAGUGGCAACACAAGCCAUCUCUAGUCUCUGAUGGGCCCUAAUUCCUUUAGUCAUUUCUUGUAUGGAAGAAUUCUGAGUCUCCUUGGCAUCCUGGCUUGUUUCUCCCAUCUCCGGGGGAACUGAAGACGGACCGGAGUACUGGUAUUGGAGGUGUGCUCAAGUGAGCAUAGAGAGAGGAAAACAAUUUCUACCAACACAAGAAUGAGCCAGGAACAAAUUCUCUUCUAGAUCCUCUGUGAAUGGAACCACCCUGCUGAUAUGUUGAUUUUCAUGCAAUGGAGCCAUAUUGGAUUUCAGAUUUAAGACUAUAAAGUAAUAAA
Long non-coding RNA from Suricata suricatta (meerkat), 377 nucleotides. RefSeq lists it as uncharacterized. The record is from RefSeq and is a predicted model, not a curated record. The transcript has 3 exons. NCBI's taxonomy places the organism in Eukaryota, Metazoa, Chordata, Mammalia, Carnivora, Herpestidae.